Molecule: long non-coding RNA, 1788 nt
Filed under: Salmo salar (Atlantic salmon)
Lineage: Eukaryota; Metazoa; Chordata; Actinopteri; Salmoniformes; Salmonidae
Description: lncRNA (ENSSSAG00000096038.1)
Source: RNAcentral
GGUACAGCGCUGGCUACUGGUGGUACAGCGCUGGCUACUGGUGGUACAGCGCUGGCUACUGGUGGUACAGCGCUGGCUACUGGUGGUACAGCGCUGGCUACUGGUGGUGUAGCGCUGGCUACUGGUGGUACAGGGCUGGCUACUGGUGGUACAGGGCUGGCUACUGGUGGUACAGGGCUGGCUACUGGUGGUACAGGGCUGGCUACUGGUGGUACAGGGCUGGCUACUGGUGGUGUAGCGCUGGCUACUGGUGGUGCAGCGCUGGCUACUGGUGGUUAAGGACUGGGUACUGGUGUGGGUAACAGAAUCUAUAAAGCAUUCGAUGUUGCGAUCUGGCAGCGAGGCGAACCCAAACUCCAAGUUGUCUGUAAAAGCUUGACCACGUGGCUGAGUUCAUGAACUCAUGCACAUUCUAAGAGUAAAGAAUAACUUAUCAAAGCGAAUGUUAUCUUUUGUCUAUGAAAUGACUUGGGGUCAUUGAAGAUGCCUAGACAACUCCAAUGUUUUGUGCAAAACCAACGACAGUAUGAUUACCAUUGACACACAGGUUAACAUCCUACUGUUUAGCUCCAAGACAUUUUGUUCAGGUUCAGAGGCAUAUUUUCCAUUAUUUUAAACAUGAUGUGUGUAUGAUAUUGUGCUGGUGUAGCCUCUAUGGUUUGGGGUAGUAUAUGGUGUAGUCUAAUAUAGGGUGUAGUCUAUGGGUUGGGGUAGGAUAGGGAGUAGUCUAUGGUUUGGGGUAGGAUAUAUGGUGUAGUCUAUGGGUUAGGGUAGUAUAGGGUGUAGUCUAUGGGUUAGGGUAGUAUAGGGUGUAGUCUAUGGGUUGGCGGUAGGAUAGGGUGUAGUCUAUGGGUUAGGGUAGAAUAAGGUGUAGUCUAUGGUUUGGGGUAGGAUAUAUGGUGUAGUCUAUGCGUUAGGGUAGUAUAGGGUGUAGUCUAUGGUUUGGGGUAGGAUAUAUGGUGUAGUCUCUAUGGUUUUGGGUAGGAUAGGGUGUAGUCUGUGGGUUAGGGUAGGCUAGGGUGUAGUCUCUAUGGGUUAGGGUAGGCUAGGGUGUAGUCUGUAUGGGUUAGGGUAGGCUAGGGUGUAGUCUGUGGGUUAGGGUAGGCCAGGGUGUAGUCUCUAUGGGUUAGGGUAGGAUAGGGUGUAGUCUAUGGGUUAGGGUGGUAUAGGGUGUAGUCUAUGGGUUAGGGUGGUAUAGGGUGUAGUCUCUAUGGGUUAGGGUAGGAUAGGGUGUAGUCUGUAUGGGUUAGCGUAGGAUAGGGUGUAGUCUGUAUGGGUUAGGGUAGGCUGGGGUGUAGUUUAUGGAUUAGGGUAGGAUAUUUUAAGAAUGUUAAUAGACUGUAGAAAAUAUUUGAAAAAUUGAAAAUGAAGUCUUCAAAAUGUCCUUUAAUUAAUCAAAUUAAUCAUUUGUUUUCAGUUGAUACAUCUUGAUGCCUCUGUCAUGGUUGAAAAUGUAAAUAAUGAAAUAGGGGUUUGGUUCACUUAUGAGGAUUAAAACUAAUACCAGUAUUGAUGAGGAAAGAAGAGUCACUGACCUCGAACCCAUCUGAUAAAAAUAUCACACUGAUUGUUGUUGGUCCUUCCCUCAAGUGCUUUGUUUGUAUAUACCGUAUCCCUUGUGUGCCACAACCUGAGCUAUUCUAAUUUAUUGUUUGUCUUUUGUUACUUUUUUGUACUCUAGUUUCUUUCAGAUUGAUUGGUAUGUUCAGCCCCCCCAAAAAAUUCACCAUAUGAUAAAUAAUUGUGGUAAUAUUUAUUCACCAUUAUUAGAAAUGUACUGGACUUGGG